GAAUAUUGGACAAUGGGGGCAACCCUGAUCCAGCCAUGCCGCGUGUGUGAAGAAGGUCUUCGGUUUGUAAAGCACUUUAAGUUGGGAGGAAGGGCUUUAGGCUAAUACCCUGAAGUUUUGACGUUACCAAAAGAAUAAGAACCGGUUAACUCUGUGCCAGCAGCCCCGGUAAUACAAAGGGUGCAAGCUUUAAUCGGAAUUACUGGGCGUAAAGCGCGCGUAGGUUGUUCAGUAAGAUGGGUGUGAAAGCCCCGGGCUUAACCUGGGAACUGCUUUCAUAACUGCUGAGCUAGAGUACGGUAGAGGGUAGUGGAAUUUCCUGUGUAGCGGUGAAAUGCGUAGAUAUAGGAAGGAACACCGGUGGCGAAGGCGACUACCUGGACUGAUACUGACACUGAGGUGCGAAAGCGUGGGGAGCAAACA
RNAcentral lists this ribosomal RNA (423 nucleotides) under uncultured bacterium. Its description in RNAcentral is "partial 16S ribosomal RNA". It matches the Rfam family "Bacterial small subunit ribosomal RNA", at positions 359 to 774 of the family's 1533-position model. The record is from RNAcentral.